GUUCCACUCAACCAAGAACAAG
RNAcentral lists this small nuclear RNA (22 nucleotides) under Arabidopsis thaliana (thale cress). Its description in RNAcentral is "snRNA_12947". The record is from RNAcentral. Lineage: Eukaryota; Viridiplantae; Streptophyta; Magnoliopsida; Brassicales; Brassicaceae.